UUCUAAGGGUGUCAAGAUGCUCUAAAGGCU
This 30-nucleotide non-coding RNA is filed under the name Rattus norvegicus (Norway rat). Lineage: Eukaryota; Metazoa; Chordata; Mammalia; Rodentia; Muridae. The record is from RNAcentral.